Long non-coding RNA from Sciurus carolinensis (gray squirrel), 3667 nucleotides. RefSeq lists it as uncharacterized. The transcript is spliced from 3 exons. The record is from RefSeq and is a predicted model, not a curated record. NCBI's taxonomy places the organism in Eukaryota, Metazoa, Chordata, Mammalia, Rodentia, Sciuridae.
UUUGCUGAUGUUUUUUGCUACUGGCAUUACUUUUUUUGUUUCAUUUUUUAAAAAACAAAUAUAUAAGUAGCUGUAUUCAGUUGACAUUUUUGAAGUUAAAAGGUAAGAAUGCCUCUGCUUAGAAAGUAAGCAGCACAGGAAGCAGUGGACUGCGGGGAGCCGCCUUCCGCCUCCUGAGAGAGCCUGCUUCCCAGGGCAGGGGGUCCUGCUCAGAACGCUCUUGACGCUUUUCCCUUAGGUCUUGUAAGAUUCCCUUUCACACCUAUACUGUUUGUUUUUAUUUCCAAGCAAUUGCUUCUUCACAUCUAUCUUCUGAAUUUGUGCUGGAGUGCCUGGAUUUCUCUUCAGAGACUUUUCAAGGUGUGACCCAUGUUUCUGAGGGUCUUGGGGUCCACCUUCAUCUUGGACAGCUGUGAAUUUCCAGUUGCACAUGCCCGCUUCUUGACUGCCACCUUGGUUUCUCCCUGGCUCCAGGCUCUGGGUGUUGAAGGGGUAGGCAAGGGAACAGCUAGGACCUUGUCCCUUCCUUGAUUGGGUGAGCACCCAGCCCUGCUCUGUGCUGGGCACACUCAGACCAACAGGACCUGGGCGAAAGAAGGGUGGAGACGGUGAGCCUGCCCAGCAGAACCCUCUGCCCUGCGGCCCUCUCCCUGUGCACCAGCUCUCAGAGGCUGGGCUGCUGUCACUGCAGCCGCAGUCCCCAUGCCACACAGCUGGCUGCCAUCCUCUGCAGGGCCCGUCCUCUCCCUGCUCCAUCCAGUCAUCUGGGCGGCCCCUUCUUGGCCUUUUCUUUCUGCUAUUGCUAAGUACAAAAGAAGAAAUCUGGAUUUUCCACCUGUUUUUAACGGUCAUAAUCAGUGUCUUGCAAGGCCCCACCCUCCACCAUGCUACGUCACACUGUGGAGGGCGCAUCUGGGGCUCAGCAGGUCACCAGCAGGGUCUGGCCUGAACCACCCCUGCCGGUCAUCAGCCUUGCCAGGGACCAGACAGCAGCAGCUCCUGUCUCCGUCCAGUCCCACAGACGACACCAGCCCUGCUGGAUAUUACCCACUUCUACAUUCCCUCCCACUGCCCUGGGUGGGACCCUGUUCUGCCUCCAAGUUGAUGGUGAAGUUGCCCCUGCAGGGCUAGCUCUGCACCUUGCCAGCUGCUGAAGUCAGCCCCAGAGCUCAAGCUGCACAGGGCAGUCCCAGGGUACUUGGCACCCAGGUGACCCCUCUUCCCAGAGGUAUUCUCUGACCUCUGCUCAGGGCCCUGCACUCUGCCUGCUGCACAAAGCCUCCUCCUCAGGACCUUGGGCAACUCAGCUGAGCCCGAGACAGGCAGAACCCCAGUGGACUUCAGGACCAGCACCUUGCAGGCAGGACCUGGCUGCCAGAGGUGUCCUUCCGCAGCCUCCAGAGCCCUGGGUGCCUGGAGGUGCAGCCAAGGCUUAUCGUCCAGGACGCAGCCUAAGACUUGAAAGGAGCCAGGGAGAGCAGGUGCUGCGCCUAUCACAUCUUGCUGGGAGGCGGGGUGCAUCCCUCUCAGGAGUCCCUUCCUGAUCCUCCUGGGUUUCCUCACCCGCACUGCAGAGGCCGAAGGAAGACAGCAUCUGUGGGCACAAAAUGCUGCUCUAGCCGCCCUCAGUGAGCAGCACACACUGCUGCAGCCAUGGCCUCCCACCAUGGACUCUCACAUCUGCCCCGGUGACAACCUGGUCUCCCAUCCCCCGCCCCGGUGCCCCACUCUGCCUUCUGCCUCUAUGAACGUGACUGCUCUGGGGACCUCACCUAAGUGGAAUCCUACAGGACUUGUCCUGUGACGGGUUGACUUCACACAGCUCAGUGUCCAAGUCCACUCUGUUGUAGCCAGGGAAUAGCGUUUGCCUGCCCAGACUGUCACAGCCCUGGGAAUGGAGCUGGGCACUUGACCACCCAGGUCUCAUGGGUCCCGCCUUUCUGCCCUGUGCCCACGAGCUGGGUGGCACCUCCCCUCACAGGGCAGACACUGCUCACCAGGCUGAUCUGCCAGCAAAGUCAUUUCUUCACUUGGAUGCUGUCAAAAAUAAAUUGAUCCAUCUUCCAGAAAUGUUCCGGCUGCUUCCAGCUGCAUUCUGAGCCACUCACUAUUGAUCGUCAUAAUUGUUUCCACUUUGCUCUGAGUCAGUCCUUUGGUGGAAAAUUACAGGGGGAGCAGCUGGAGGAGGGUGAUUUGGGGAGGAGGUGAGUGGCCAGAACAGCGUCCAUCCCCAGGUCUCCCUGGUUGACGGCACCACUGCCUCACAUGCCCACUCAUGCCCAGGGGCCAGCUGGCCAUCGAGUCAGGCUUUGGUGCUGGUGCAAAGCCAGAUUGGUAGGCAGAGGGCCUCAGAGAGGACCGUUCCCCUGCUUUUGCCCCCAGCCCUAGCUGCACCUGGCAGAGCACAGUAGCCCAGGCUGACUGCAAAGGACAGUCAGUGACUUGGGAACAGCACCAGGCCAAUGAGCAUCUGAUUUUGGAAUUUCAGCAAUCCAACAGUGCUGGGGACUCGAACCCGGGUCUGGAGCUUGAGAGGCAUGCACCCUAUGUGAUGGGCUAUAUCACCAGCACCAAGCAUCUGAUUUUAAACAGAAAGCAGUGUCCAGCAUGGAGUUGGUGGGUCCCCAAGCCUGGCCCCGUGGUCAGGACAUCCAGCAGCCCUGGCAUGUCAGGAAGUGGGGCGCAUUGGCAACACCUCUGACCAUGGGCUUUGGAAUCCCGCCACCUGGUUGUGGGCACGAGGCCGAGCAUUCACAGCGGGCCUUGACCUCUAAAAGGACAGAGCCGUGACUGUCUUGACCCACUCUGCCCCCCGCCCCGUGCCUCUUGCUGCCUGGCAGAGCAGGACUUUGGUGGAUGUUCCAGAGCCGGUGAGCCUUUUAACAAAUGGCAGCAGACGGUGUCAGACCUGCCAGGCCUGACGCUGCUUCUCAGAGGGCUGCGCACUGUGACUCCACAGGGCUGGGCUUGGCCCGGCCCUGCCCAGCUGCCCUUUGGAAUCCAGGCUCUGCUCUAACUGGCUGUGCUGUCCUGGGCUGAAGCUGCUGUCGGGUGCAGGUGGGAGGACGGGCAGGACUUGUGUUCACUGCAGAUGGUGGCUGCUGACCCCAUGUUGCCAGGAGCACUUGCAAGGGGGCCCUUUUGGAACCGAGAAGUGCUACUCACGCAGACCACACCCAGAGUCCGAAGGCCACAGUGCUGGAGAUUGCGCCCUGGUCCUUCCGCAGAACUGCACCCCAGCCCAACUGUGUCAUCAAACAGCUAUGGAAGGAACAGAGCUCCAACACAUGCAGCUCCUGGAGCCUGGAGGAUGCUGUGCUGCCUGAAGGCCACCACUUGCCAAGGGCACACUUGUGUGACUCUGCUUACAUGAGGUCCCUAGAGCAGCUGAGCCCACAGACAGAAGGAAGAGUGGUGGUCACCAGUGCUGGAGAGGUGGGGAGGGAGUUCUGUUUAAUGGGGACAGAGUUUCCAUCUGGAAGAUGGUGGUGGUUUGAGGGUUACACAACAGUAUAAACGUACAUAAUGUCACCAGACUGCCCAAAUAAAGUGGCCAAAGUGAAAAUGUUCUGUUAUUUUGCCACAAUUAAAUUUUUUAAAAAUUAAUUAAUUGAUUAAUUAAUUUUGGUACUGGAGAGUAAACCUAUGGCACUUAACCACUGAGCCA